AACACAUGCAAGUCGAGGGGCAGCAUGAACUUGGCUUGCUAAGUUUGAUGGCGACCGGCGCACGGGUGAGUAACACGUAUCCAACCUGCCGAUGACUCGGGGAUAGCCUUUCGAAAGAAAGAUUAAUACCCGAUGGCAUAGUUCUUCCGCAUGGUAGGACUAUUAAAGAAUUUCGGUCAUCGAUGGGGAUGCGUUCCAUUAGCUUGUUGGCGGGGUAACGGCCCACCAAGGCAUCGAUGGAUAGGGGUUCUGAGAGGAAGGUCCCCCACAUUGGAACUGAGACACGGUCCAAACUCCUACGGGAGGCAGCAGUGAGGAAUAUUGGUCAAUGGGCGCUAGCCUGAACCAGCCAAGUAGCGUGAAGGAUGACGGCCCUAUGGGUUGUAAACUUCUUUUAUAUGGGAAUAAAGUGCAGUAUGUAUACUGCUUUGCAUGUACCUUAUGAAUAAGGAUCGGCUAACUCCGUGCCAGCAGCCGCGGUAAUACGGAGGAUCCGAGCGUUAUCCGGAUUUAUUGGGUUUAAAGGGAGCGUAGGCGGGUCGUUAAGUCAGUUGUGAAAGUUUGCGGCUCAACCGUAAAAUUGCAAUUGAUACUAGCAUCCUUGAGUACAGUAGAGGUAGGCGGAAUUCGUGGUGUAGCGGUGAGGAUGCUUAGAUAU
This 658-nucleotide ribosomal RNA is filed under the name uncultured Bacteroides sp. RNAcentral describes it as "bacterial SSU rRNA". It matches the Rfam family "Bacterial small subunit ribosomal RNA", at positions 50 to 697 of the family's 1533-position model. The record is from RNAcentral. Lineage: Bacteria; Pseudomonadati; Bacteroidota; Bacteroidia; Bacteroidales; Bacteroidaceae.